ACGGUUGCAGCGAGCUUGAAAGAUAGAUUUUUCGAGACUAAGUUGGAACUGGAAGGAGAAGAUGAGCCAAUUGUAGUGUACGACACGAUCAACACCUUUGAGACACAAGAUUCUUUCUACCCACUUUUGAGAGAAAAAGCGCCCGCUGAAUUAAUAAGAAAACGUGAACUCAUCGCUGAUUGUAGGAGCAAAAGUCCCCCAAUCUCGUCUAACGAUGAGAACGACGAAGGAAAAGAUGUUAUCUUCCCAUUCUCAAAAAUCAAACUCUUGGACAAAGCGAUUAAAGAGAGAGCGAAAGGCGCAAUCGUAUUGGGAAAGAAACGUUAUGACUUCAAUGAGACGAAAAAGUUACAGUUUCCUAUCGCUUCUAUAUUUUUGGACAAAGUAAAGAAAGCUAAACUAGAGGAGUACUAUAGAAAAUAUCCAAGCAAACGUUCAGUCAAAAUCCACAAGACGGAAGAAAUUCCACGAGAAGAGGGAUGGGUUCCAACUGUUGCUAAAUUGUCGUCAAAGGGUCCUAAUUGUGAUAAGUUCCUAGCAAACAUUCUAAAGCCCGAUAUAGCUGCUCCAGGGUUAGAC
Non-coding RNA from Camelina sativa (false flax), 579 nucleotides. NCBI's taxonomy places the organism in Eukaryota, Viridiplantae, Streptophyta, Magnoliopsida, Brassicales, Brassicaceae. The record is from RefSeq and is a predicted model, not a curated record.